This is a long non-coding RNA of Oncorhynchus keta (chum salmon), 3972 nucleotides long. RefSeq lists it as uncharacterized. Lineage: Eukaryota; Metazoa; Chordata; Actinopteri; Salmoniformes; Salmonidae. The transcript has 2 exons. The record is from RefSeq and is a predicted model, not a curated record.
CAGCAUAUAAUUUCACUCCUCUACGUUUACCUUAAACUGCCUCUACCCCCCCACAAUCAAAUUUUUGUUCAAUUUUGGGUUAGUGGGGCCCCUCCGCAGCAUUUUUAAAAAACAGGCCCCCAAUUCGCUAAGUCCCCUGCAAGUAGGCCUAUAGAGAGCACUCUCUUAGAGGUGAAUUACCUCUGAAGUGAUGUACAAGCGAGCGCUCUUUGACUUGCCUAUCAACCAAAAGCUAUUGUAAUAUUUUACAUUAUAUACAAGUCCAUUGUAAUGAUGGGUAUUAAAUCCUAGACAAUCAUUUUCUAACUAUUUUCAUCAAUUACUGAGCCUUCACCUACCUCUCUCCCCAAUAGGUUUCUUCUCACACAAGUACCCUUCUGAAGGGAAGACACAGGGGACAGCUGAUUGACAGAUAAUUAACGUUUUCAUAUAUUCAAAACCAGGAAGUUUAGUAGUAAAAGACAAGGUUUGAAUUCUGCUUUAUUUAACAGACAUAUGUACAUCAUUGUUAUCAACCUCUUGCCCUGGGCUCCCGAGUGGGGCAGUGGUCUAAUGCACUGUAUCUCAGUGCUAGAGGCAUCACUACAGACCCUGGUUAGAUUUUAGGCUGUAUUUACAACCGGCCAUGUUUGGAAGUCCCAUAGGGCAGAGCACAAUUGGCCCAGCGUUGUCCGGGUUAGGGUUUGGCUGGGGUAGGCAGUCAUUGUAAAUAAGAAUUUGUUAUUAACUGACUUGCCUAGUUAAAUAAACAGACUUAUACCCUGACUACACCGCCCACGUCACGUCCGCGAGCAUUGCAAAAUAGAUUUAGGAAUCUUAUUCAAUUAUUGCUGCUUGCGCUCGCCAACGAGCGUCUGCUUUGCCAAGGGCUAAAAUAGAAGCCAUUCCUAUUUCUGAGACAGAAAUAGAUAACAGGUGCCAGGUGCUAGAUAACGGUAUCGAGCAUGAGCUCAUAGAUAUUCUUCACAGCAAGUUACAUCUAUCAACUGGAGCGCCCGGGGCUGGUACCAGCGCGUACGACAACAAUCAAUAAUAGGCUGGGUGAGUCUAAACCACGCCCAGUCUCUACUGUGAUAGGCCAACAGACGGGUUGGGACAAUGUCAGUAUGAGAAUACUGUUUACAUACUUGUCAGUUCUCUGUUCUGCGUGGUAUUACAGUGAGCCCAUAUAUAUAAAGUUGCAUUUGCCAUUUAUUACUUGGCUAAUAAAAAAUACAUAGUAUUGUAAUGUAACCUGACUAGGUCAUAAAUGAACAAUUGUCCAGACAGAGGCUUGAGUUUACGAAUUGACGGUUUAUUACACCAACUUUACACAGGCUACUGUUUGGGCCGUAGCACACGCCAAAUAGAUUACAGAUAACCCACAAGCCAAUCGUGACCUUCUCUUGUGAAACCCAGACGUAAGAGAGAGAGAACAAAGGCUGAACCUGGUCUUAACUUCCAAUGCUCCACCCCCCUGCCCAACCCCCCUCCACGCCACUCCGCCAACCACCAGGAUGCCCGGCAUCAGAACAUUCCAGGCAUUCCCGUGAUUGGCAGAUAGCAGGUUGAUUGACAGGUCGGACCCCGCGAACACCGGGUACUGGUCAGUACAACACAACCACCUCCUAGCCUAACACAUAACACACAGCUGUCUGUGCGGGUCGCUACAGUAUAAAAUCGGUGACUCAUUGUUAUAUUUAUCCUGAUACCAGAUUCGAAUUUACGCAACCCUAACAUUAGUUAAGAGUUUGUUUUGAUAUUUUAACCUGCAUGUCGUGAUCGCGUUUGGUGUAGGGGACAAAAUAAAUGUAUGCACGAUAGUGCACGCGCGCAGCCGGUGUGGGUUCCGUGUUAGGGGACAUGGCAGAAGGACACAAUGCAACUAACGUUAUACAGACAGAGUGGAAGGAGAGAGAGGCAUUCCAUCACCACCAUAACUGUAGUUUUUGGAUCUAAAAAAACAGAAGUUCUACUCGUAAUCCUAUCUAAUUCGUUAGCGAGUUUGCUCAAUUUACAUAUAGCAUGUUAUUUAGCUCACUGUUGGACCCCGACGGUAGCUAGUUGGCUAUUUUGACGAUUUAGGCGAGGGAUGCAGACUGAUUAUCCUCGGACGCGGUGGUAGAAGCGUUGCUGAGAGCCAAUUGGCUAUCGAACGGCCAAUUGCGUGAGAUGUGGGUCUUGAUAGAUUGGGAGCGUCACCGAAAUAAUAUUUAUGUUCGUGCGGUUCCGGGGGGUUACAAACGGAUUACGCUUCGAACAUACCGACUGGGUCAUUGCCACAGUGCUGCAUAACAUUUUGCGCAGCUAGGCAACUAUACUGAGGCAGGUAUAUUUUGCCAGACGGUCGAAUGCGGUUGGACACAUGGGGAGAAUCAUUUUCGCAGUAUCCUCAAAACCGGCUUUUUGACACAACUGCUGAAAGCUACAGGGACAUAAACACAAAAAAAAUGCUGCGUGUCCACGAUAGUAGGUUUGUCAGGUAAAUUUGGUAGUGAGCUUGUAUUAGAUGUGUCUAGCUAAACUAGCCAAUGAGUUGUGUGUGAAAGAAAUGGUAAAAUUUAUUUUUUUCAAUUUUGUAUUUAUUUCACCAGCUAAGCUAGUUGAGAACAAGUUCUCAUUUACAACUGCGACCUGGCCACUAUAAAGCAAAGCAGUGCUUUAUUAUGAUAGUUACUACCCCUAAUAACUUGCCCAAAUAACCAUGUUUUAAAGAGUGUAUGCCAGAGAGUGAGUUUGUCAGGUUAAUAGAAAUGAUGGUAGAUACUUCCCCUGAUAAUUUGGUCAGAACUCUGUACAGUAGGUGACAUUUACAUGAUAGCUAUCUAAUAGCUAUAGUUAUGCUAGGUGAUGGUUUAGCUUAUCCUGUUCAUGUCUAUGUAGAAGAAGACUGUGGGAGGAAGUGGAGAGGACUCUGGGACAGGUAUCAGAGGGAGAAGGGCAGAGAAAGAGAAGAGGUCUGAGUCAGCAGCUUAAUCUAGGACCUCCUGAGAUUAUUAUGACCCUCCCGGGAGUGACCACUGAAGGCCUUGAACAGGAUGUGGCCGUGGAGACAAAUGAGAGAAACAUGGAGAAAUGAAGAGGAACAACGUCACACCAGUCCCCAGAACCACUCAAAUAAUUUCACCAGAGGCUCCUUCCUCAAAGCCAUCGAGAGGGAUGCAGCCCAACCUGAUCCUCACAUUAAGGAGGAUGAAGAGACCCUCUUUGCCAUGAGCCUGUUGCCAACCCUGAAGUGGCUGCCUCAGCAAAGAAAAGCAGCAAUCAAGGUUAAAAUUCAUUAGCUGCGUUUUGAGGCGGAGUUCAAUGAGAUAGUCAAUUUAGCCGACCAGCUCACAGGAAGGACAGUAAGGAGACUUGUCUGGUUGUUGUUUUGACCUUCUCCUCCAAUGGGUUUUGAGCGGGAGGUGAGGAGAGAGGGCACGAGGAAUGCAACUGAAACAUUCCAACUGUCCUCAAUUGAGAUUUUCCAACUGUCCUUAUUCCGCUUUCUAUCUCCUUGUUAGUAGGCUUUUUUAGUAUGGAAUUCAUAAAGUAAAUAGUUUCUCAAUACUUAGGAUAGCAUUCAUUAUUAGUUGUACAUAGAUUGCAUGAAACCUGACACUGGAGAAUUCAGAUUCUCUUGUUAUUUUACAAGACUAAAGGUGGAAUGAGUGCUUACCUGUAUUGUGGCUACACAUUCACUUUGUUUUUUCAGACACACACCACUCCUCUCUGUCCCUCAGAUCUCCAGUGCCCUGCCCUUUCUCUUUUAUGGCCAUGUCUGAAGUUCCUUACUACGUCUAGGCUUUGAGUAGUCCCUGUAUCUGUCUGCAGCUGUGCCAAAAAUACAUGCUCUUUUUGUUCUCUUACAGGCUACACAUUAAUUGUUGUAUGUGUGCAUGUAAAAAUACAACUCUUUCAAUAGUUUUUAUUUUUGUAAGAUUUUUACAACACAUACCUGUCAUGUUCUUUCCUGUACUUGAAUACUUAUUAAAUUCUAAUGUUUUCAUA